UGAUGAUAAUGAGGUCAAUUUCUAAGCAUGCCCUUAAAUCUCUCCUAAACUUGGUAAAGAUUUUCUCCUUCUUUUUACCUAAAACUCAGAAUCUCGCUUCUUAAUCA
Non-coding RNA from Capsicum annuum, 107 nucleotides. The record is from Rfam. Lineage: Eukaryota; Viridiplantae; Streptophyta; Magnoliopsida; Solanales; Solanaceae.